Molecule: ribosomal RNA, 457 nt
Filed under: uncultured bacterium
Lineage: Bacteria
Description: SSU rRNA
Rfam family: Bacterial small subunit ribosomal RNA
Source: RNAcentral
AGAAUCAACGCUGGCGGCGUGCCUAACACAUGCAAGUCGCACGAGAAAGGGGAGCAAUCCCUGAGUACAGUGGCGCACGGGUGAGUAACACGUGAAUUAUCUACCUCCGAGUGGGGAAUAACUGAGAGAAAUCUUAGCUAAUACCGCAUAACACUUACGAGUCAAAGCAGCAAUGCGCUUGGAGAGGAGUUCGCGGCCGAUUAGUUAGUUGGCGGGGUAAUGGCCCACCAAGACGAUGAUCGGUAUCCGGCCUGAGAGGGCGCACGGACACACUGGAACUGAAACACGGUCCAGACUCCUACGGAGGCAGCAGUGGGGAAUUUUGCGCAAUGGGGAAACCCUGACGCAGCAACGCCGCGUGGAGGAUGAAGCCCCUUGGGGUGUAAACUCCUUUCGAUCGGGAAGAUAAUGACGGUACCGAUAUAAGAGCCCCGGCUAACUUCGCGCCAGCAGCCGC